Molecule: ribosomal RNA, 464 nt
Filed under: uncultured bacterium
Lineage: Bacteria
Description: bacterial SSU rRNA
Rfam family: Bacterial small subunit ribosomal RNA
Source: RNAcentral
CCCAGACUCCUACGGGAGGCAGCAGUGGGGAAUAUUGCACAAUGGGGGGAACCCUGAUGCAGCGACGCCGCGUGGGUGAAGGAGCACCUCGGUGCGUAAAGCCCUAUCGGCAGGGAAGAAAAGCGAACAGGUUCGCCUGGACGGUACCUGACUAAGAAGCCCCGGCUAACUACGUGCCAGCAGCCGCGGUAAUACGUAGGGGGCAAGCGUUAUCCGGGUUCACUGGGUGUAAAGGGAGCGUAGACGGCGACGCAAGUCUGGAGUGAAAGCCCGGGGCCCAACCCCGGGACUGCUCUGGAAACUGCGUCGCUGGAGUACGGGAGGGGCAGGCGGAAUUCCUGGUGUAGCGGUGAAAUGCGUAGAUAUCAGGAGGAACACCGGCGGCGAAGGCGGCCUGCUGGACGAUGACUGACGUUGAGGCUCGAAAGCGUGGGGAGCAAACAGGAUUAGAUACCCCAGUAAAA